This 863-nucleotide long non-coding RNA is filed under the name Mus musculus (house mouse). RNAcentral describes it as "long non-coding RNA chr1:172873550-172874413". The record is from RNAcentral. Lineage: Eukaryota; Metazoa; Chordata; Mammalia; Rodentia; Muridae.
GAUACAACAUGAAGGUCCUCGCCAGAUGCUGAUACCAAGUUCUUAGACUUCUCAUCUCCAGGAUCAUGUGCUCCUUAAACAAACAAACAAACAACAAAACCAGCCAGCCAACCAACCAACCAACCAACCAACCAACCAACCAACCAACCAACCAAAAAAACCCAACCCAGUAAGGGGUAUUCUGUCAUAGCCACACAAAAGAGACUCAUCCAAAUUAUUUCUUUAAAAGGGGCUGCAUAUGUUAAGAUGUUUUCCAUUUCCAUUUAUUUUGUGGCUUAAAUGGUUUUAAAAACAAUGACUCUGAAUGGCUUCUGGCUGCUGUCCUAUUUUUUCCUCAUUUUUCUAUUUUUCUCCUUUAUGGCAUUAUCUAGCAGGUGUCAUGGUGUAUGGAAAUGAAGAAUACUUUUAUGGUUCUUCCUCCAAACAGUGCAUAAAUCUUUUUGACCAACUCAUUUUCUCAUCAUAGCAAUUAGAGAGGAGCUAGUUUCAUGGCUAGAGCCAGAAACCAUAGAGAAUUGGAUCAGCACACUUAAGAUUAGAGAGGUGAGAAUUAUGCAUGAUCUAUGACCAUACUCAGUAUAGUGAAGACAGUAUAGUGAAGUAUAAUGGAAGGAAAGACUGUAGCAUAAAUUGAAUAAUAAAGACUAUAUUUUCAAUUGCUAAGCCAGUAUAUCCUGACAUUCUAAUGUGAGUUAGUUUUUUAAAAAUACAUAGCUAUCACUUUUCCUUCAAGAGCCUGGCAGAAUUUUCUUUCAGGGGAUUCCUUCACUUGUGACUUUUCAUAUCCAGCUGCCCAUUUCUAACUUCUGGACAUUGUAUUGUGAAAGUAAUUUUGUUGAUAAAACAUAAAACAAUCACCUUUU